This 253-nucleotide ribosomal RNA is filed under the name uncultured bacterium. RNAcentral describes it as "partial 16S ribosomal RNA". It matches the Rfam family "Bacterial small subunit ribosomal RNA", at positions 524 to 776 of the family's 1533-position model. The record is from RNAcentral.
UACAGAGGGUGCAAGCGUUAAUCGGAAUUACUGGGCGUAAAGCGUGCGCAGACGGUUGCGUAAGUCAGAUGUGAAAGCCCCGGGCUCAACCUGGGAAUUGCAUUUGAGACUGCGUAGCUAGGGUGCGGAAGAGGGAAGCGGAAUUUCCGGUGUAGUGGUGAAAUGCGUAGAGAUCGGGAAGAACACCAGUGGCGAAGGCGGCCGGCUGGGGGCGCCCUGACGCUGAGGCGCGAGAGCGUGGGGAGCAAACCGG